UCCCUGGUGGCUCAGAUGGUAGGGAGUCUGCCUGCAAUGCAGGAAGCCCAGGUUCAAUCCCUGAGUCAGGAA
Molecule: non-coding RNA, 72 nt
Organism: Bos taurus (domestic cattle)
Lineage: Eukaryota; Metazoa; Chordata; Mammalia; Artiodactyla; Bovidae
Source: Rfam